GGUCUGUUGGCGCAGUGGUAGCGCAAUACCUUGACAUGGUAGAGGUCACUGGUUCGAAUCCAGUACAGACCACCA
This 75-nucleotide transfer RNA is filed under the name Verrucomicrobiales bacterium. RNAcentral describes it as "tRNA-Val". It matches the Rfam family "tRNA". From Rfam's summary of the family: Transfer RNA (tRNA) molecules are approximately 80 nucleotides in length. Their secondary structure includes four short double-helical elements and three loops (D, anti-codon, and T loops). Lineage: Bacteria; Pseudomonadati; Verrucomicrobiota; Verrucomicrobiia; Verrucomicrobiales. The record is from RNAcentral. RNAcentral also lists the same sequence under 1 other name.